UACGUAGGGUGCGAGCGUUGUCCGGAAUUACUGGGCGUAAAGAGCUCGUAGGUGGUUUGUCGCGUUGUUCGUGAAAUCUCACGGCUUAACUGUGAGCGUGCGGGCGAUACGGGCAGACUGGAGUACUGCAGGGGAGACUGGAAUUCCUGGUGUAGCGGUGGAAUGCGCAGAUAUCAGGAGGAACACCGGUGGCGAAGGCGGGUCUCUGGGCCGAUACUGACGCUGAGGAGCGAAAGCGUGGGGGAGCGAACAGG
This 254-nucleotide ribosomal RNA is filed under the name uncultured bacterium. Its description in RNAcentral is "partial 16S ribosomal RNA". It matches the Rfam family "Bacterial small subunit ribosomal RNA", at positions 524 to 776 of the family's 1533-position model. The record is from RNAcentral.